This 199-nucleotide ribosomal RNA is filed under the name uncultured bacterium. RNAcentral's name for it is "partial 16S ribosomal RNA". It matches the Rfam family "Bacterial small subunit ribosomal RNA", at positions 328 to 539 of the family's 1533-position model. The record is from RNAcentral.
ACGCUCGACACCUACGGGGGGCAGCAGUGGGGGAUAUUGCACAAUGGGGGGAACCCGUGAUGCAGCGACGCCGCGUGAGGGAAGAAGGUUUUCGGAUUGUAAACCUCUGUCCUCAGGGAAGAAGAUGACGGUACCUGAGGAGGAAGCCACGGCUAACUACGUGCCAGCAGCUGCGGUAAUCUGAGCGGGCUGGCAAGGC